ACUGGCCUCAUCCACCUAUUUUGAUCCCAUUAUUACUUCAGUUUUUGCUCUCACAUUUAUUUUCUCAUGCCUCCCAACCAAUUGAAAAGAUUUUUUUUUUUUUUUUUCAAAAUUUGUCCUUUACUCUUCACAUUCUUACCCCUUUUGAACACACCAUUAGAAUCUUCAACAAGAAACCCACUGAAGAAGCCAAUAGGGCAAACCUUCCUCAAAAGAAAGAAAACAUGAAUCAUUCUUAAAAUGAGACAAUUUUG
Molecule: unclassified non-coding RNA, 254 nt
Filed under: Hevea brasiliensis (rubber tree)
Lineage: Eukaryota; Viridiplantae; Streptophyta; Magnoliopsida; Malpighiales; Euphorbiaceae
Source: RNAcentral